GGAAAUUGACGGGGAGCACCACAACAGGUGGAGCCUGCGGUUUAAUCGGACUCAACGCCGGGAAACUCACCAGAUAAGACAGCUGAAUGAUAGUCGGGCUGAAGACUCUACUUGACUAGCUGAGAGGAGGUGCAUGGCCGUCGUCAGUUCGUACUGUGAAGCAUCCUGUUAAGUCAGGCAACGAGCGAGACCCACGCCAACAGUUGCCAGCUCGUCCUCCGGGAUGGUGGGGACACUGUUGGGACCGCCUCUGCUAAAGAGGAGGAAGGAAUGGGCAACGGUAGGUCAGCAUGCCCCGAAUUAUCUGGGCUACACGCGGGCUACAAUGGGUGGGACAAUGGGUAUCGACACCGAAAGGUGAAGGCAAUCUCCUAAAACCAAUCUUAGUUCGGAUUGAGGGCUGCAACUCGCCCUCAUGAAGCUGGAAUCCGUAGUAAUCGCGUUUCAACAGAACGCGGUGAAUACGUCCCUGCUCCUU
This 478-nucleotide ribosomal RNA is filed under the name uncultured Methanomicrobiales archaeon. Its description in RNAcentral is "bacterial SSU rRNA". It matches the Rfam family "Archaeal small subunit ribosomal RNA", at positions 861 to 1338 of the family's 1478-position model. The record is from RNAcentral. Lineage: Archaea; Methanobacteriati; Methanobacteriota; Methanomicrobia; Methanomicrobiales.